GAGGUGGAAGCAUGGUGACAUGUGGAGCUGACGAAUACUAAUAGAUCGAGGACUUAACCAUA
RNAcentral lists this ribosomal RNA (62 nucleotides) under Bacillus thuringiensis. RNAcentral describes it as "partial 23S ribosomal RNA". The record is from RNAcentral. RNAcentral also lists the same sequence under 1 other name. Lineage: Bacteria; Bacillati; Bacillota; Bacilli; Caryophanales; Bacillaceae.